GCAGGUUGAAGCGCGGGUAAGACCGCGUGGAGGACCGAACCCACCUGGGUUGAAAACCGGGGGGAUGACCUGGGGCUAGGGGUGAAAGGCCAAUCAAAUUCCGUGAUAGCUGGUUCUCUCCGAAAUGCAUUUAGGUGCAGCGUCGGUCGAUUGCGUCGCGGGGGUAGAGCUACCGGAUGCUUGCGGGCCCUUGUUGGGUACCAACAGCAGCCGAACUCCGAAUACCGUUGACGUGUAUUCCGGCAGUGAGUCGGCGGGGGAUAAGCUCCGUCGUCGAGAGGGAGACAGCCCAGACCGUCGUCUAAGGUCCCGAAGCGUGUGCUAAGUGGGAAAGGAUGUGGAGUCGCAUAGACAGCCAGGAGGUUGGCUCAGAAGCAGCCAUCCUUGAAAGAGUGCGUAACAGCUCACUGGUCUAGUGGUUCCGCGCCGACAAUGUAGCGGGGCUCAAGCACACCACCGAAGACGCGGCAGCAAUCUUCAUGGUUGCUGGGUAGGAGAGCGUCCUGCGAGGGGCGAAGCGGCCGGGUAACCGUGCCGUGGACUUCGUGGGAGUGAGAAUGCAGACAUGAGUAGCGAGAGACGGGUGAGGAUCCCGUCCGCUGGAUGACCAAGGGUUCCGGGGCCACGUUCGUCGUCCCCGGGUGAGUCGGGUCCUAAGGCGAGGCCGACAGGCGUAGUCGAAUGGAUGAACGGGUGGAUAUUCCCGUACCGACCAUGGACCGGCAAAACCGAGACGGUGAGUACUAACCUCCGCCUCGUGGUGGUUCCUUCCUUCGGGUUGGUUCCGCCGCGUGGUGUUGGGAGCGUAGCCGUAGUAGGUCAGCGCAGGGGUGACACGGAAUGGGAGCCGGCCGCGGAGGUGGUUUUCCGUGGUCAAGCACGCAGCCCGUCCCAUAGGCAAAUCCGUGGGGCAUGCAGGGUGAGGUGCGAUGAUGGGCGCCUUUCAGGCGCGAUAUCCGGUGGUCCAGGCCGUCGAGAAAAGCCUCGGCGCGAGGGGCGUUGCCGCCCGUACCCCAAACCGACACUGGUGGUCAGGUAGAGAAUACCAAGGCGAUCGAGCGAAUCCUGGUCAAGGAACUCGGCAAAUCACUCCCGUGCCUUCGGUAUAAGGGAGACCCGCUGGGGUGAACCGGCUAGCCCGGGGAGCUUUGGUGGGUGGCACAGACCAGGGGGUAGCGACUGUUUACCAAAAACACAGGUGCAUGCGAAGGCGCAAGCCGCUGUAUAUGCACUGACGCCUGCCCGGUGCCGGAAGGUUAAGAGGAUCCGUCAAUCCCUUCGGGGACGAAGCGGUGAAUUCAAGCCCCGGUAAACGGCGGUGGUAACUAUAACCAUCCUAAGGUAGCGAAAUUCCUUGUCGGGUAAGUUCCGACCUGCACGAAUGGCGUAACGACUUCCCCACUGUCUCGACCAGGAGCUCGGCGAAAUUGCAGUACGAGUAAAGAUGCUCGUUAAGCGCAGAAGGACGAAAAGACCCCGGGACCUUUACUAUACCUUGGUAUUGGCGUUAGGCGCGGAUUGUGUAGCAUAGGCGGGAGGCUUCGAAGCGGUGGCGCCAGCCAUCGUGGAGCCGCAAGGUGAAAUACCGCUCUGUUCUCGUUUGACGUCUCACCUCGAACAGUCAUCCUGUUCAGGGACAGUGCCUGGCGGGUAGUUCAACUGGGGCGGUUGCCUCCCAAAGAGUAACGGAGGCGCUCAAAGGUCCGCUCAGCCCGGUUGGCAAUCGGGUUUCGAGUGUAAUCGCACAAGCGGGCUUGACUGCGAGAACGACGGUUCGGGCAGGGACGAAAGUCGGAGAUAGUGAUCCGGUGCCGGCGCACGGGCGCGGCAUCGCUCAACGGAUAAAAGGUACCCCGGGGAUAACAGGCUGAUCAUUCCCAAGAGUCCAUAUCGACGGGAUGGUUUGGCACCUCGAUGUCGGCUCGUCGCAUCCUGGGGCUGGAGCAGGUCCCAAGGGUUCGGCUGUUCGCCGAUUAAAGCGGCACGCGAGCUGGGUUCAGAACGUCGUGAGACAGUUUGGUCUCUAUCCUCUGCGCUCGUUGGAAUCCUGAGGAGGCCUGCCCAUAGUACGAGAGGACCUGGGUGGACGAACCUCUGGUAUGCCGGU
This 2107-nucleotide ribosomal RNA is filed under the name human gut metagenome. RNAcentral describes it as "bacterial LSU rRNA". It matches the Rfam family "Bacterial large subunit ribosomal RNA", at positions 740 to 2721 of the family's 2925-position model. The record is from RNAcentral.